AGUAAAAUAAGCUAAACAAGCUCUUGGGCCCAUACCCCAAACAUGUCGGUUAAACCCCUUCUUUUACAU
This 69-nucleotide transfer RNA is filed under the name Amphiuma pholeter (one-toed salamander). RNAcentral's name for it is "tRNA-Met". The record is from RNAcentral. Lineage: Eukaryota; Metazoa; Chordata; Amphibia; Caudata; Amphiumidae.